UGUCCCACCCACCAGCACUGCUAUAAAUCCAGCCUGUUUGGGGCAAAGCAGCAUUCCCUGGCCCCAAGGGCAUCUGGACACAGCCAUUCCAGGUGGGUUUGCUGCUGCCUCAACACCCUGACCUUCUCCAGGCAGCAGUGGGUCCCAGAUCUGCAGUCUGUGCUCUGGGAAAAGGUUUCAGAAGACCUGUGAGGAAGGCAAUUGAAUCAGUGCAGGUUAUUGAUUUCCCAGAGACUGAGACAGUGGAAUACUGCCAAGGUUUGAAUGCCGGCACAGACAUAAGAGUUGUUUUUAGAGAAAGCUCUGUGAAGACCCAGGAGAGGCAGCAGCCAUGAAGAUCCUGUUCCUGCUCUUCCCCCUGAUCCUCCUGUUGGUCCAGGGUGCUGCAGAAAUAGGAAGUGAACUUGAAUGCAAACGCCGAAGAGGAUACUGUUAUUUUGGGAGAUGUGUCCUCCCUGCAAGGCAAAUUGGAAGAUGCACAGGACAAACCGUCUGCUGCAGAGGAAUCUGGGGUUGAGUCCCUGAAAUUCCCAAGCAGGACUUGCCCCUCACUUCUGACUGCUGGACCCAUCUCCUGAUGUCCCCUCCC
RNA transcript from Cyanistes caeruleus (blue tit), 589 nucleotides. RefSeq lists it as uncharacterized. The record is from RefSeq and is a predicted model, not a curated record. NCBI's taxonomy places the organism in Eukaryota, Metazoa, Chordata, Aves, Passeriformes, Paridae.